RNAcentral lists this ribosomal RNA (253 nucleotides) under uncultured bacterium. RNAcentral describes it as "partial 16S ribosomal RNA". It matches the Rfam family "Bacterial small subunit ribosomal RNA", at positions 524 to 776 of the family's 1533-position model. The record is from RNAcentral.
UACGUAGGUGACAAGCGUUGUCCGGAUUUACUGGGCGUAAAGAGCGCGCAGGCGGUCGUUCAAGUCGAGUGUGAAAGCCCCCGGCUCAACUGGGGAGGGUCACUCGAUACUGAUCGACUCGAAGGCAGGAGAGGGUAGUGGAAUUCCCGGUGUAGUGGUGAAAUGCGUAGAUAUCGGGAGGAACACCAGUGGCGAAGGCGACUACCUGGCCUGUUCUUGACGCUGAGGCGCGAAAGCCAGGGGAGCGAACGGG